UGCGGGUGUAGUUUAGUGGUAAAACCUCAGCCUUCCAAGCUGAUGAUGUGAGUUCGAUUCUCAUCACCCGC
This 71-nucleotide transfer RNA is filed under the name Shouchella lehensis G1. Its description in RNAcentral is "Bacillus lehensis G1 tRNA-Gly". It matches the Rfam family "tRNA". Rfam says of the family: Transfer RNA (tRNA) molecules are approximately 80 nucleotides in length. Their secondary structure includes four short double-helical elements and three loops (D, anti-codon, and T loops). Lineage: Bacteria; Bacillati; Bacillota; Bacilli; Caryophanales; Bacillaceae. The record is from RNAcentral.